This 1500-nucleotide ribosomal RNA is filed under the name metagenome. RNAcentral's name for it is "bacterial SSU rRNA". It matches the Rfam family "Bacterial small subunit ribosomal RNA". The record is from RNAcentral.
AGAGUUUGAUCAUGGCUCAGAUUGAACGCUGGCGGCAGGCCUAACACAUGCAAGUCGAACGGUAACAGGAAGCAGCUUGCUGCUUCGCUGACGAGUGGCGGACGGGUGAGUAAUGUCUGGGAAGCUGCCUGAUGGAGGGGGAUAACUACUGGAAACGGUAGCUAAUACCGCAUAAUGUCGCAAGACCAAAGAGGGGGACCUUCGGGCCUCUUGCCAUCGGAUGUGCCCAGAUGGGAUUAGCUUGUUGGUGGGGUAACGGCUCACCAAGGCGACGAUCCCUAGCUGGUCUGAGAGGAUGACCAGCCACACUGGAACUGAGACACGGUCCAGACUCCUACGGGAGGCAGCAGUGGGGAAUAUUGCACAAUGGGCGCAAGCCUGAUGCAGCCAUGCCGCGUGUAUGAAGAAGGCCUUCGGGUUGUAAAGUACUUUCAGCGGGGAGGAAGGGAGUAAAGUUAAUACCUUUGCUCAUUGACGUUACCCGCAGAAGAAGCACCGGCUAACUCCGUGCCAGCAGCCGCGGUAAUACGGAGGGUGCAAGCGUUAAUCGGAAUUACUGGGCGUAAAGCGCACGCAGGCGGUUUGUUAAGUCAGAUGUGAAAUCCCCGGGCUCAACCUGGGAACUGCAUCUGAUACUGGCAAGCUUGAGUCUCGUAGAGGGGGGUAGAAUUCCAGGUGUAGCGGUGAAAUGCGUAGAGAUCUGGAGGAAUACCGGUGGCGAAGGCGGCCCCCUGGACGAAGACUGACGCUCAGGUGCGAAAGCGUGGGGAGCAAACAGGAUUAGAUACCCUGGUAGUCCACGCCGUAAACGAUGUCGACUUGGAGGUUGUGCCCUUGAGGCGUGGCUUCCGGAGCUAACGCGUUAAGUCGACCGCCUGGGGAGUACGGCCGCAAGGUUAAAACUCAAAUGAAUUGACGGGGGCCCGCACAAGCGGUGGAGCAUGUGGUUUAAUUCGAUGCAACGCGAAGAACCUUACCUGGUCUUGACAUCCACGGAAGUUUUCAGAGAUGAGAAUGUGCCUUCGGGAACCGUGAGACAGGUGCUGCAUGGCUGUCGUCAGCUCGUGUUGUGAAAUGUUGGGUUAAGUCCCGCAACGAGCGCAACCCUUAUCCUUUGUUGCCAGCGGUCCGGCCGGGAACUCAAAGGAGACUGCCAGUGAUAAACUGGAGGAAGGUGGGGAUGACGUCAAGUCAUCAUGGCCCUUACGACCAGGGCUACACACGUGCUACAAUGGCGCAUACAAAGAGAAGCGACCUCGCGAGAGCAAGCGGACCUCAUAAAGUGCGUCGUAGUCCGGAUUGGAGUCUGCAACUCGACUCCAUGAAGUCGGAAUCGCUAGUAAUCGUGGAUCAGAAUGCCACGGUGAAUACGUUCCCGGGCCUUGUACACACCGCCCGUCACACCAUGGGAGUGGGUUGCAAAAGAAGUAGGUAGCUUAACCUUCGGGAGGGCGCUUACCACUUCGUGAUUCAUGACUGGGGUGAAGUCGUAACAAGGUA